CCUACGGGAGGCUGCAGUGGGGAAUAUUGCACAAUGGGCGCAAGCCUGAUGCAGCCAUGCCGCGUGUGUGAAGAAGGCCUUCGGGUUGUAAAGCACUUUCAGCGGGGAGGAAGGCGGUGAGGUUAAUAACCUCAUCGAUUGACGUUACCCGCAGAAGAAGCACCGGCUAACUCCGUGCCAGCAGCCGCGGUAAUACGGAGGGUGCAAGCGUUAAUCGGAAUUACUGGGCGUAAAGCGCACGCAGGCGGUCUGUCAAGUCGGAUGUGAAAUCCCCGGGCUCAACCUGGGAACUGCAUUCGAAACUGGCAGGCUAGAGUCUUGUAGAGGGGGGUAGAAUUCCAGGUGUAGCGGUGAAAUGCGUAGAGAUCUGGAGGAAUACCGGUGGCGAAGGCGGCCCCCUGGACAAAGACUGACGCUCAGGUGCGAAAGCGUGGGGAGGAAACAGGAUUAGAUACCCGAGUAGUC
RNAcentral lists this ribosomal RNA (465 nucleotides) under uncultured Klebsiella sp. RNAcentral's name for it is "bacterial SSU rRNA". It matches the Rfam family "Bacterial small subunit ribosomal RNA", at positions 338 to 795 of the family's 1533-position model. The record is from RNAcentral. Lineage: Bacteria; Pseudomonadati; Pseudomonadota; Gammaproteobacteria; Enterobacterales; Enterobacteriaceae.